GGGGGAAUAUUGCACAAUGGGCGCAAGCCUGAUGCAGCCAUGCCGCGUGUAUGAGGAAGGCCUUCGGGUUGUAAAGUACUUUCAGCGGGGAGGAAGGGAGUAAAGUUAAUACCUUUGCUCAUUGACGUUACCCGCAGAAGAACGACCGGCUAACUCCGUGCCAGCAGCCGCGGUAAUACGGAGGGUGCAAGCGUUAAUCGGAUUUACUGCGCGUAACGUGCACGCAGGCGGUUUGUUAAGUCAGAUGUGAAAUACCCGGGCGGAACCUGGGAAGGGCAUGAGAUACUGACAAGCUUGCGUCUCGUAGAGGGGGGUAGAAGUCCAGGUGUGGCGGGGAAAUGCGUAGAGAUCUGGCGGAAUACCGGUGGCGAAGGCGGCCCCCCGGACAGAGACUGACGCUCGGGUGCGAAAGAGUGGGGAGCAAACGGG
RNAcentral lists this ribosomal RNA (429 nucleotides) under Chloroflexota bacterium. RNAcentral describes it as "Chloroflexi bacterium partial 16S ribosomal RNA". It matches the Rfam family "Bacterial small subunit ribosomal RNA", at positions 355 to 776 of the family's 1533-position model. The record is from RNAcentral. Lineage: Bacteria; Bacillati; Chloroflexota.